This is a long non-coding RNA of Sander lucioperca (pikeperch), 2210 nucleotides long. RefSeq lists it as uncharacterized. The transcript has 2 exons. Lineage: Eukaryota; Metazoa; Chordata; Actinopteri; Perciformes; Percidae. The record is from RefSeq and is a predicted model, not a curated record.
GAGAUAUUUCAUCUUACAACUGUGUUUUACUAUAUUUUCAUUCAGCCCCCACUUAUGGAUGCCCACAGGAUAACUAAUAGUUGUCGACUAAUAAAUUAAUAAACACUUACAUCCGCUUAAAACUACAUUAUAGUGUGUUAUAAACCAUUUAUAGAAUAUACUGCAUUCAAAUGCCAAAUAGGGGAAUUUAAUGUAAAGUGUUAUUGCAGCACUGAAGGAAAUGAAAACUGAACUGACACAUGCAGCACAUAGGUCUUUCUUGACUGGAUUAUAAACAUUUCUCACAGCCUUGACUUGUUAAACACAGGUGUGACAUUUAUCCCAUUCAGGUGUUUCAGUGCCAUGGGUCUAUGGAUUGUGCAUGCUUGCUCACUGACAUGGUUUACUAGGAUUUCUAAAUGUAACAGGGCCAUCAUUAUAGGAUAGAUCCAUUGUUUUUCAGCCUGCGCCUUGUUUAAAUGUUAUUUACCAUUGUUUAUAAUAAUACGGAAUACAACUUCACAGAUUUAGUUUUGAGAAACCCGUAGUCUAAGAGGAAAACGGGAUGUUGCCAGUAAUGUCGGACAUGUCUAUAUGUUCCAUAGUUCUCCUGAUAAACAUGGUCACCAACUACGCUUUUUAUCAGGCUUUAUCGACUGUUUCCCUUUGUGACUUCUCUGCUGGAAACAGGAAGUUGUGUAACAUAAAGUCAGUUAACCUGAUAGAGGACAUGGUUUGUGGCCAUUUUUUGGUUGAACAUUUUAAAGAUAUAUUACUGUCAGUCCACACCCUCGCUGUUGAAGUUAUAGGCGGGACCUUCUCUUCAAAUCUAUAGUAGUGUGAUGUCAUUUCUAGAGCUACAGCGUCAAGUUCACAACACAACACAAUUCCCCUUUUAACUAGAGCCACGCUGCCUUCUCACAAGUUUGAGCAACCUCUGACAUUUGCAGUUAAAACAUCAUUAGGUAAUUUUAAGCAACACCUUCACUAUCAACUGAAAAGCUCAAACACAAAGCUUACAUUUUUAGAAAAGGAAAAACUCACUUUAAGGUAGGCAAGAUAAAGCACUAUUGUCAGAGUCUCAUGACUGUCAAACUCUGUGUCUCUGUGUGUCUCUCUCUGUGUCAAUGGUCUCUUGUGUUGUGCUGUGCAGAGGUUUAGGAGCAUGUGGCUGUGUGUCUCUGCCACGGAGGAAGAAUGACCUCUUUUGUGUACAAGUAUUCUAUAUAACAUUGCUCCUAGAUUUUAGGCCAGGAGAAACUAGCAUCUGUAGAGGACCUGAAGAAAGACAAAUGCUUUGGUCCAAUACUUGCUUUGCUCUCCCAAGUGUUUGCAAAUCUUGACACCCCAUUCUAACAGUUAAUGAAUUAUCUUGUUCUCCUCUGCUGUGUUAUGUUGCUGUGAACAGUAUGACCCUUCUCCUCUCAGCGGUGGAGCAAAAGGUUCUUACUUAUGAAUAAUGGAUGAAGCCAUUGCUCAACCAGAAGUUCACUGCUGUGUGCAGGCCACACCAUUACAACUUUAUUAUUGUACAAUGAAGCAAGGGAAGGGACACAGGGGGGAUGGCAGGAGAGAGGGUGGUGCAGGUGGACCAGCAGAUAAGUGUUUGUUAAUUUCAGCUUCAUUUCCCAGAGGAAAGGGGCAAUGCUAUGGCACAUUUCCUCUCAAAGAUUCUCUGUUCUUCGCUUUUUAUCACAUUGUACUUAUACCACACCAGCAUUUAAAUGAGGCACUUUAUUUUCAAUGGAAAUGCUUUUCUUGUCCAGCCCCUGCAGGGGAAAUGGUUUAUCAGCUGUUUCUAAUGUAGUCUGCUAUCUGGAGAUGUCCAUGUAUCACACGAAAACAGUUCAGUGCUAUUUAUGUAAGGCUGUGAGUUGGCAUCACAGGAGAUUGUUAUUAUAUUUCUCAUACUUCUUUUUUUUAUAAAUACCACCCCCAUUACAAUUGGAACUCAAACUACAGUACAUUGAACAAUUAAAGACCCUAAUGGCCCUAAAAAACUGAACUAAAACAACAAAAAGGAAAAAGCUAAAAAGUAGUAAAAGUCUCUUGAAAUAAUGAAGCACUUUGCAACAGUUUUCAGUUGUGGUUAUUGCAGUGUCACAGUGCUGCUGGAUGCUCACCUAAUGACAAUGUCUUAAAGUAGGUUCAAUGGCUGUGCAAACAAGUAGUGUUACUUGUAUCUGACAUAAAUAUCUAGUUUAUUAUAGUGUUAGAGUUCUCAGAUAUUU